This 406-nucleotide ribosomal RNA is filed under the name uncultured Hyphomicrobiales bacterium. Its description in RNAcentral is "bacterial SSU rRNA". It matches the Rfam family "Bacterial small subunit ribosomal RNA", at positions 356 to 774 of the family's 1533-position model. Lineage: Bacteria; Pseudomonadati; Pseudomonadota; Alphaproteobacteria; Hyphomicrobiales. The record is from RNAcentral.
GGGGAAUAUUGCGCAAUGGGGGAAACCCUGACGCAGCAACGCCGCGUGCGGGAUGAAGGCCUUCGGGUUGUAAACCGCUUUCAGCAGGGACGAAGGGUUUCUGACGGUACCUGCAGAAGAAGCACCGGCUAACUACGUGCCAGCAGCCGCGGUAAUACGAAGGGGGCUAGCGUUGCUCGGAAUCACUGGGCGUAAAGCGCACGUAGGCGGAUCGUUAAGUCAGGGGUGAAAUCCUGGGGCUCAACCUCAGAACUGCCCUUGAUACUGGCGAUCUCGAGUUCGAGAGAGGUUGGUGGAACUCCGAGUGUAGAGGUGAAAUUCGUAGAUAUUCGGAAGAACACCAGUGGCGAAGGCGGCCAACUGGCUCGAUACUGACGCUGAGGUGCGAAAGCGUGGGGAGCAAACA